GACCUCUAUUGACUUUUUGGACACCACGACAUUUAAAAGUAAUACAUUUCAGGAAACCCACACACUUGACGUCAAAGUAUUCUUCAAAGAGACGGACACUCAUGCUCUGCUCUUCAAGACCAGCUUUCACCCAAAGCACACAUAUGCUGGCUUAAUUAAAUCGCAGUUGUUGAGGUUUCACAGAAUAUGCAGCAGAAAGGAGGAUUUCCAUGCUGCGGUCAAGGUGCUCUUCCAUGCUUUGUCCUCUAGGGGGUACUCCAGGACCUUCCUUAGAAAGUGCCACAGGUCUUUCCUCCAAAAGAGGGCAAUCAUCGUGGGCUCCAGUCUUCCUUUUGUAACCACUUACUCACCUUCUACGGUGGAACUGGUCAGGGGAUGUAGAAGGAGAUUCCUCUCCCACACCACGGGGUCUUCCAUCCUGCAGGACCACAGGAUCAUUUCAGCCUUCAGAAGGAAUAAGAAUUUACAAGAUCACUUGGUGAAAGCCAAAAUUCCACCCUUUCAAAGGGGCAGGUCCGGAGGUUCAAAUCAGUGGUUCAAACACAGGGAGUGGUUUAGCAGUCAUGCUACUAAAGAGGUUUUUCAUAACCCGACCAGAGGGAAUGUCAAAUCGUCUAAUUGUGUCUACCUGAUCACAUGUGUCAAAUGCGGUGUUCAAUAUGUGGGAGAGACUGGGAAUACCAUUGCCACCCGUAUGACACAACACAAACAUAAUAUUGUCAAACAGAAAAAGACACGCACGCCACUGGUGAAACACUUCAUUUCUCAUGAUUGGAAUUCUGUCUCUGUGUGUGUCAUUGAGUGCAACCCUAGAUGGAGUGCUCCCCAGAGGAGGAGAGCAGAGAGGGUGUGGAUCGCCAGAAUGGACACAAGGCAUCCCAGUGGCCUUAACGAGGACUGAGGGUGCUGCAGGUAGUGAGGAGGCUGAAGUUGCUUGGCCGCUCCUAGGGAGCCGAAGGCAGGACCCUGUUGUCUUCUCUGGAUCAUCCUGCGUGGAAUCACAGAACUACUUUACCCAACCGGAAUGUUUUCUGAACAUUGAUUGGAGUUUCCCUGUACGAGCAAACAGCUGCCAAAUUUAAAUGAAGCAGCUAAAGAGGGUGGCAUAGUUCAGGA
Long non-coding RNA from Gasterosteus aculeatus aculeatus (three-spined stickleback), 1116 nucleotides. Lineage: Eukaryota; Metazoa; Chordata; Actinopteri; Perciformes; Gasterosteidae. The record is from Ensembl.